This 283-nucleotide ribosomal RNA is filed under the name uncultured bacterium. RNAcentral's name for it is "partial 16S ribosomal RNA". It matches the Rfam family "Bacterial small subunit ribosomal RNA", at positions 773 to 1060 of the family's 1533-position model. The record is from RNAcentral.
GUGGAUUAGAUACCCUGGUAGUCCACGCCGUCAACGAUGAUUACUCGAUGUUUGCGAUACACGGCAAGCGUCCAAGCGAAAGCGUUAAGUAAUCCACCUGGGGAGUACGCCCGCAAGGGUGAAACUCAAAGGAAUUGACGGGGGCCCGCACAAGCGGUGGAGCAUGUGGUUUAAUUCGAUGAUACGCGAGGAACCUUACCUAGGCUAGAAUGCGCGUGACCGGUCCAGAGAUGGACCUUCCCUUCGGGGCACAAAGCAAGGUGCUGCACGGUUGUCGUCAACU